This 383-nucleotide ribosomal RNA is filed under the name uncultured bacterium. RNAcentral's name for it is "bacterial SSU rRNA". It matches the Rfam family "Bacterial small subunit ribosomal RNA", at positions 29 to 414 of the family's 1533-position model. The record is from RNAcentral.
AUUGAACGCUGGCGGCAUGCUUUACACAUGCAAGUCGAACGGCAGCGCGGGGGCAACCCUGGCGGCGAGUGGCGAACGGGUGAGUAAUGCAUCGGAACGUAUCCUGUAAUGGGGGAUAACGUAGCGAAAGUUACGCUAAUACCGCAUACGCUCGAGAGAGGAAAGUGGGGAUCGCAAGACCUCACGUUAUAGGAGCGGCCGAUGUCCGAUUAGCUAGUUGGUGGGGUAAAGGCCUACCAAGGCGACGAUCGGUAGCUGGUCUGAGAGGAUGAUCAGCCACACUGGGACUGAGACACGGCCCAGUCUCCUACGGGAGGCAGCAGUGGGGAAUUUUGGACAAUGGGCGAAAGCCUGAUCCAGCCAUGCCGCGUGCGGGAAGAAGG